UGCCAGCCGCCGCGGUAAUACGAAAGGUGCAAGCGUUGUUCGGAUUGACUGGGCGUAAAGCGCAUGUAGGCGGGCUAAUAAGUCAGUUGUGAAAGCCCCGGGCUCAACCUGGGAAUUGCAAUUGAAACUGUUAGUCUUGAAUAUCUGAGGGGUUUAUGGAAUUCCAGGUGUAGCAGUGAAAUGCGUAGAUAUCUGGAGGAACACCAGAGGCGAAGGCGAUAAACUGGCAGAAUAUUGACGCUGAGAUGCGAAAGCGUGGGGAGCAAACAGGAUUAGAUA
This 279-nucleotide ribosomal RNA is filed under the name uncultured bacterium. RNAcentral's name for it is "partial 16S ribosomal RNA". It matches the Rfam family "Bacterial small subunit ribosomal RNA", at positions 506 to 784 of the family's 1533-position model. The record is from RNAcentral.